GACGAACGCUGGCGGCGUGCCUAACACAUGCAAGUCGAACGGAGUUAAGACUUCGGUUUUAACUUAGUGGCGAACGGGUGAGUAACGCGUGAGGAACCUGCCUUUCAGUGGGGGACAACAGUUGGAAACGACUGCUAAUACCGCAUAACAUGUACGGAUCGCAUGGUCUGUACAUCAAAGCUUUAUGUGCUGAAAGAUGGCCUCGCGUCUGAUUAGAUAGUUGGUGAGGUAACGGCUCACCAAGUCGACGAUCAGUAGCCGGACUGAGAGGUUGAACGGCCACAUUGGGACUGAGAUACGGCCCAGACUCCUACGGGAGGCAGCAGUCGGGAAUAUUGCACAAUGGAGGAAACUCUGAUGCAGUGACGCGCGUGCAGGAAGAAGGUUUUCGGGUUGUAAACUUCUUUUACCAGGGACGAAGACGUGACGGUACCUGGAGAAAAAGCCAACGGCUAACUACGUG
This 463-nucleotide ribosomal RNA is filed under the name uncultured bacterium. RNAcentral describes it as "bacterial SSU rRNA". It matches the Rfam family "Bacterial small subunit ribosomal RNA", at positions 28 to 507 of the family's 1533-position model. The record is from RNAcentral.